AUUGAACGCUGGCGGCAGGCCUAACACAUGCCAGUCGAGCGAGCGGCGGACGGGUGAGGAAUGUAUGGGGACUGCCCGAUAGAGGGGGAUAACUACUGGAAACGGUAGCUAAUACCGCAUACUAUCGGAUAACCCAUAUGGGAUUAGCUAGGAGGUGAGGUAAUGGCUUACCUAGGCGACGAUCCCUAGCUGGGUUGAGAGGACGACCAGGCGCACUGGGACUGAGAAACGGCCCAGACUCCUACGGAGGCAGCAGUGGGGAAUUUUGGACAAUGGGGGAAACCCUGGUCCAGCCAUCCCGCGUGUAUGAUGAAGGCCUUCGGGUUGUAAAGUACUUUUGGCAGAGAAGCGGUAUCUGCAGAAUAAGCACCGGCUAACUACGUGCCAGCAGCCGCGGUAAUUC
Molecule: ribosomal RNA, 403 nt
Filed under: uncultured bacterium
Lineage: Bacteria
Description: partial 16S ribosomal RNA
Rfam family: Bacterial small subunit ribosomal RNA
Source: RNAcentral